This 6132-nucleotide long non-coding RNA is filed under the name Marmota monax (woodchuck). The record is from RNAcentral. Lineage: Eukaryota; Metazoa; Chordata; Mammalia; Rodentia; Sciuridae.
UGCCGCUCCCGGCGCCCGCUGUCAAGGGAACGGGCGUGACAGGGGACGGGGCGGGGCUCAGCGGGGCGCCGCGCACUGCAAAGGCACGGUCCUCCGUCACGUCGAGCUUGGAGUUUGAACCUAGAGGACCUGCGAUGGUGGCACAUGACUGCCAGUGGAAACGCCUGACGCAGGAGAACGUGGUCGGGCAGCGCCGCGCACUACGACUCCCAGCAUGCCCCGCGUGGGCGGGCCUCAGCGCGCCGGCGCCGUCCAGUCGCGCGGGGGCCGACGGGAGGUGCGGUGGCCGGGGUGGGGAAGGAACGGGGCCGCCGGGAGAUGUGUCUUCCCGGGCCGCUGGGGAGUAGAGUUCGCCGACGCCGCUGUGGCCCGUGGCAGCUUUGGGUCUGCGCCGUGAGGGAGGUGUGUGCAGACUUCGCCGCGGCCUCCUCGGCGUGUGGCCCGGUCCCGCGCUCAGCCCCGCGCACCUCCGGGUCGGGUCCCCUUGGUCCCCGCGGCCGCAGCACCUCGUGCUAGGAGCGGACGUGCGCUGGGGGACCGACCGGCCCGCUAGGGUGGGAGGAAACAACUUCUCUGGCUAUGCCCCGCGGUGGAGGGAACCUAGACGGCCGCCACGUCCACGUGCUGCAAAGAACCCGUCUGCGUCACGGGGUCGCUGCAGCACGCGGGGCCCGGAGAGGAAUUCCCGCAGCAAAGCCGGUGGCCGGGCACUCGGGGACAGACGGGUGGAAGAAAGGGACGUGCUGGGGGGCGGGGGGAGCGUCGCUGUGCUUUCCACUCCGCGUGGACCUAAAUCCACGAGCCACCAGGAUAGAAGGACGUGUUGAGGCCACUCCCGUGCAGGGGCAGCCCAGACCCUGGAAGCCCCGUGGACAGAACUGGCGCCCAGGUGGCCGAGCCCAGCGUCCGGAGACCUCCGGCCGUCGGCUGGAACUCUCAGGGGACUGCCCGCCCAGGGUGGGCUUUGGCCGUGGAAGCCCCGGAGGGGCACUUAAGCAGUUCGAAAAACGUGCCAAAUUCACCUCUAUGUCAGAUUCUUUUUAUUCACAAGAUUUAUUUUGAAAUCGUACACUUAUUAAGGGGAGGCUUGUGAUUUGUUUCCUAAGGUGCCGGUUGACUGUCAGCCCAGGGAAGAUUUCCCAUGUAUUUAGCUGUGCACCGGCCAUCCCGACAGUCUUCACCAACUCCCACUUUGCCGGCCUGAGAACCCUCCCACGGGCAGGCUAGCACCGGUAAGACCGGCCCUCCACGGCUGAAUACACCCCUCUUACCAGGAAGCCUUUUGGAAUCCUGGGCACAAACUUCCAGUUAGCAGGACAGCAUAGGAGGAUGUCCGGUCACGCCCCUGUGGGACUAUGGCUGCCGGUUCACCACAGGGCUUAGUGGGAAUCCUGAACUGGAUGGGUUCCAGUUUGCAGGCUACAUCGUUAAGAAAUCUCUGCUCAUUGAAGUCAUUUACCAUUGGAUUCAACUUUUUCUCUUCUCAUUAUUGCUCCAAAGAUCUUGUAGGUAUAGUCUCAAGGUCUAUAAGAAUUUACGUAACUCAUAUUCUAAGAGUUACAUGAAACAUCUUGGAAUUAACCCCCAUUACUAUUUUAGGGCUUUGCAGGAAUAAUGAGUCAGAGUCCUCCUGAAUUAUCUACCUCUCAUCAAAUAGUGCACUGUUUAAGUGGUUUGUGCUUUGGUAAUAUUAAUACCUUUCUUCUAGAAGUGCAAAGAACUUUAUAAAUACCAUCACACACCGCUCAGAACAACUUUAUAACUUUUGUUAUAAAAAUGAAAUGAAAACUCUGUUACUAACAGCUAAACCGUAGGGGAAAGUUGCCCAAUGUAACAUUCUGUUCAUUUUUGUUGUUCCCAAAGCCACCAUAAAAUGACAUCCCAAUGAUCAAGGCAAUAGUUUUAAAUGUGAUUGACAUCUAUUGUUUAACAUGUGACAGGGAGCUAAUGUUCAUUCUCUUUGCUCUUUUCAGAUUGAUUAAUGCAACACAGGUCUCAAAAUAUAUUCAUUAUCUGUAUAUACACACACAUAUAUACGUAUCAUUGAAGUAUAUAUACACAGACAUAUUUAUAUGCUUUUGAGCUUAUUUCUCUAGCUAAUUUUCAUGAGACUAAAACGUAUGGAAUCCUUGAUUUAUUUCAACUUGUUCAAGUCACUAACAGUAUUCACUUUUGGGUAGAUUAUCUUUUAUGGGUUUGGCUACAUUUUAAGAAAAAAUUUCUAGUAUAGUGGUAUCAGUAUACACCCAUCUUCUUCCCUACAGUUAAACAAGUUUUACCAUAGAAGUGCUCUGUAAUUAUGAAUUUAUGAACAAUUCUCUGAGUAAUUCCUUUCAAGGUACGUACUUCCAAUAAAUAUUAAGCAGUUGCAAAGUAUGUUGGUAAAAGUAACUUGGGGCUGAACCACUGAGUCCAAGUUCUACUUCCCCUGUGUGAUCUUGGCAGCUUGCUUCACCUCUCUGUACCUGUUUCACGUUGUAAAAUGAGGAUAAUCACAAUGCCUACAUCCUAGGUUUACAAGGAUUAAAUGAAUCACCACACAUGAAGGACUUGGAGUAUGCCUGGCCCAGCACUGUUACCUUAUUAUUGUGUUGAAUCUUAAAUUUUUGCUGUGUACUUGGCACCUGGAAGCUUCUGGUGACUAGUGAUAAGACAGGGUUCCUUCCCUUAAAGGCCUACAUUCAAGGCUGAAAAAAUGGAAUACCAACCCCACAGUUAUUUUAUUUGAAUUGUGAACAUUAGGAACAGAAGUCUAGGGUGGCAAGAGAAUGUUCAGGGGGAAAUGAGCAGAGAUUUGGAGACAUCACCUUUGGAAAGUGACAGGAAAUGUGUUCUGAAUUAUUCAUGGACAUCCCAGGCAAAGGAACCUGUAUGAGGACCACAAAGUCCUGUGGGCCCUGGGAAUAAGGUGAGGAGGGAAUACCAGGAGUUAAGGCUGAGAAGUCGAGCUCAGCAGAUGAUCAGAAGCCAUAUUAAGAAUUUGUGUCUUUAUCAUUAGAAAAUAGGAAACCGUGGCAGGGUUUACACAAUGGAGUCAUAUGAGCAAUCUUUGAAAGGUCUCUUGGCUACCAUGUGGAGAUCAGAUUAGCGUAAGAGAGCUGUUGGCAACGCUGCUGUAGUUUAGAAGAGGACAGUGUUGGAGAAGUUGGUGGCUGGCACUAAGGCAGAUACAGUGGAGAUAGAUAAACAUUUGGGUGGAUUUGGGAGAUCUUUCAAUGGUGGAAUCAAUGACCAAUCAGUUAUUGAUUAGUUAUAGGGGGGAAGGGAAAGUGAGACGGUGGGGCUCCCUUCCUCUGGCUUGUGCAGGUGGGCAGAUGAUGGUGUCAUCCACAGGACAAGAUUCUGAUAUUGGAUGCAGCAGAGGGAAGAUAGGGAGGCUAACUAGAUGAAAGCUAGCAGACAUUCCUGAGAAAUGUUGCAUAAGUGACUGGAUGUUCUGGCUGGAGUUCAGAGCAAGGAACAGUUCUGGGCUGAAAACUAAAACUUCAUGCUUGGCACUUGAUGUCCUGGGCCAUAGUGUGGAUGAAUGCCAUCAUCUAAGACAGAAAUGAAGAGACUUUUCAACUGCAACUAUUGUAUAUUGCAUUAACUCCCAGCAGCUCAAGAGGCAGAGGCAGGAGAAUCACAGGCUGAAAGCCAGCCUCGGCACCUCAGCAAGGACCUUAGAAGCUCAGCAAAAUCCUGUCUCUAAAUAAAAUAUGAAAAGGGCUGGGGACAUGACACCCCUGGUUCAAUUACCAUAUGUAUCUAUAUAUCUCUCAUUAAGUAGAAUAAGUCAGCCCUUUUGGCUUCCUCUGGGGAUGCCUCCUGUAUUGCAGAGGUCAGCUGCUUUGUAGCUGGGAUCUUAUUCAUGAAAUAGAUCCAACGGUGAGAUACCCUUGUGUGAGAUUUGGAAUUAGAAUGCUCUGGAGGCCAUUGUUCUGUCCCUCCCAGCUAUUUUCCUGCACAGAGCACAGAGACAUGAGGUUUUCUUAGCAACAUUCCAGUGCUCACUUACCAGCUUCCUGGAUACCAAGAGCAAUUAACUGGUGCAAGUUCAACAGAAGCUGUAACACCAGAAGCAAACAGUGGCCCCAGUGUCCUGACUUCUGGAUCAAAGGUACGGGUGUGUCUUCAAGUCACCAGUUCCAGGGCAGCCUCCUCGGGUGGGAGCCCUGAUGAGACUGUUCAGUCUUGUCCUGAGAGCCAUUCCUGGGGAACCCACUCUGGGUCCUAUCCCUCCAGGCCUCCCAACAAUUUUGUGAGCACUUGUCACUCAUCCUGCUUGUCAUAUCUGGACGGUCAAGAGCGAGUUGUCAAGAGGCCAGGAGAAGACUAGGAAGGAGCUCGCCAGAGCAGAAACCUGCCCACUUGUCCCAUAAGGCCACACCUGGAAAACACUCACCUGCAGAAUGGGGGUGACGAAUGAACACAGUACACACCUGCAGCAGACCCACACAACACUGAUAAGGAGCCAGAAUGUGCGCAAGGCCAGCAAGAGCACGGUGAUUCUGUGCCCCAGAGUUACAUAGGCUCAUUGCAGCAUAUUAUCAGGCGUCUACAAGAAACAAAGUUCCGUAGAGAAGGCUGAUGGAAGUGUCACCCUGUAAAACCAAAGCUGGAAGACACUUGUCCUGAGGACUUGACCUUGAAUGUGUAGGUGAAGUAAAAACUGUAAGAUCAGCCAUCUUUAUUGGUGAAAAAGUCAUUUGAAGAACAUGCGUUCCCCUGUUAACCUUUUCUACUGUGGAAGCAGUGUGUGCUUAUUGUGACAAUGACACACCCAAAGGCAUAAACACAACUUCCUCCUACAUCUGCCAGUUCCCACUCCCCCUGAGGUAGCCAGUGUUAACUACCGGGGGAUGUGUCACACCCCAGCCUUACCCACACCUGUAAAAAUAUAGUUUAUUGCUGUUGCCACCAUUGUCUACACAUGCAGUUCUAGCUCGUGUGGUGGGAGUGCCUUGUUCACCUGAUGGUGCAUUAGACUAUCUGACCAGGUCAGCUGGUGUAGAUCCAGCUUAGUCUUUUAAUAGCACAGUACGUAGAACAGAUUGCCUUACCGUGGAGUCAUUUGUCCCCAUUGAUAAAUGUGUAAAUUGAUGUGUACUUUUAUCACCACAGUGAGCGCUGAGUAAAGAUACUUAUAAUGUAUCUUAGCCUAGGAUGCUUCAAUUUCCAGGAAAGGUUCCAGUAGGACCACAGGAUCAGGAACAGUUCUGUUUCACUAGACUACACUCUUGUUUACCUAAAAGGGUGUACCAUCACACCAACAGGAAAGUGCCAGGGUCCAGCGCCCAUCCACACCAAGCGCCAGCUCUCACUCUUUUAAACACCUAGGGGCGUUAUAGAUGUCCUUGAGUGGUUUAGGCCUGUAGUCUUGCCCUCUGAAAAUGUAGGCAUCUCCCCAUUUCCACUGAAUGCACCCUGCUCCUUCCAUUGCCAUUCUAUAAAUUGCAAAGAUUAAGCAACCAGAGACUCUGCAGCUGACAUGACCAUUGUUCUUAAAGGCAACUCAACCAGAAGAUGCCUGUGAACACCACCUCCUCAUUUGGCACCUCACCUGGCAGCUCCCAGUUUCUGCCUAGGUUUCUUUGCACUGCCGCAAGGACACCUAGAGUAGAUGUGCAUGUGCAUCAGCAGAGGGUCAUCCUAGCCCAUCACUUUUCCCCUGUCAUGGUGCAGUUAACUCUAAGGUAAUGGAUAGAAAGGCAACAGUGUAGCCUAUAUCUUGUAUUGUAAAUGAUACAAAAUGUUUGAAAUGCUUAGGGCAGUGCUUCCCACGUAGUAGGCUUCCCCCCCCCCCCGUACUGGAAAUUGAUUCCAGGGAUACUUCACCACUGAGCCACAUCCAAAACCCUUUUUAUUUUUUAUUUUGAGACAGGGUCUCUCCAAGUUGCUUAGGGCCUCCCUACAUUCCUAAGGCUGGCUUUGCGCUUUGGGUCCUCCUGCCUCAGCCUCCCAAGCUGCUGGGAUUACAGGGGUGCAUCACCAUGCUAAACUAGUUAGUUUUUAAUAAAUGAUUGAUCUAUGUUUCACAAGAUUUAAUUUCUAUUUGAAAGAUAAUUUGUCAGACAAUCCUUUAACCAGACAUUGGUAAAAAUAAUUGGUUUCUUCAUGUCUUUUGAAAUAUAAUUUACUAAUCAUUUAAAU